CUUACCUGGUCUUGACAUCCACGGAAGUUUUCAGAGAUGAGAAUGUGCCUUCGGGAACCGUGAGACAGGUGCUGCAUGGCUGUCGUCAGCUCGUGUUGUGAAAUGUUGGGUUAAGUCCCGCAACGAGCGCAACCCUUAUCCUUUGUUGCCAGCGGUCCGGCCGGGAACUCAAAGGAGACUGCCAGUGAUAAACUGGAGGAAGGUGGGGACGACGUCAAGUCAUCAUGGCCCUUACGACCAGGGCUACACACGUGCUACAAUGGCGCAUACAAAGAGAAGCGACCUCGCGAGAGCAAGCGGACCUCAUAAAGUGCGUCGUAGUCCGGAUUGGAGUCUGCAACUCGACUCCAUGAAGUCGGAAUCGCUAGUAAUCGUGGAUCAGAAUGCCACGGUGAAUACGUUCCCGGGCCUUGUACACACCGCCCGUCACACCAUGGGAGUGGGUUGCAAAAGAAGUAGGUAGCUUAACCUUCGGGAGGGCGCUUACCACUUUGUGAUUCAUGACUGGGGUGAAGUCGUAACAAGGUAACCGUAGGGGAACCUGCGGUUGGAUCACCUCCUUA
This 563-nucleotide ribosomal RNA is filed under the name Shigella flexneri CDC 796-83. Its description in RNAcentral is "SSU rRNA". It matches the Rfam family "Bacterial small subunit ribosomal RNA", at positions 970 to 1533 of the family's 1533-position model. The record is from RNAcentral. Lineage: Bacteria; Pseudomonadati; Pseudomonadota; Gammaproteobacteria; Enterobacterales; Enterobacteriaceae.